GCAUCGACCAGAGGGAAAAGGAGCAAUCCGCUUUGAGAUGGCCUCGCGUCCGAUUAGCUAGUUGGUGAGGUAAUGGCCCACCAAGGCAACGAUCGGUAGCCGGACUGAGAGGUUGAACGGCCACAUUGGGACUGAGACACGGCCCAGACUCCUACGGGAGGCAGCAGUGGGGAAUAUUGCACAAUGGGGGAAACCCUGAUGCAGCGACGCCGCGUGGAGGAAGAAGGUCUUCGGAUUGUAAACUCCUGUUGUUGAGGAAGAUAAUGACGGUACUCAACAAGGAAGUGACGGCUAACUACGUGCCAGCAGCCGCGGUAAAACGUAGGUCACAAGCGUUGUCCGGAAUUACUGGGUGUAAAGGGAGCGCAGGCGGGAAGACAAGUUGGAAGUGAAAUCUAUGGGCUCAACCCAUAAACUGCUUUCAAAACUGUUUUUCUUGAGUAGUGCAGAGGUAGGCGGAAUUCCCGGUGUAGCGGUGGAAUGCGUAGAUAUCGGGAGGAACACCAGUGGCGAAGGCGGCCUACUGGGCACCAACUGACGCUGAGGCUCGAAAGUGUGGGUAGCAAACAGGAUUAGAUACCCUGGUAGUCCACACCGUAAACGAUGAUUACUAGGUGUUGG
This 621-nucleotide ribosomal RNA is filed under the name uncultured bacterium. Its description in RNAcentral is "bacterial SSU rRNA". It matches the Rfam family "Bacterial small subunit ribosomal RNA", at positions 188 to 826 of the family's 1533-position model. The record is from RNAcentral.